Molecule: ribosomal RNA, 467 nt
Filed under: uncultured bacterium
Lineage: Bacteria
Description: partial 16S ribosomal RNA
Rfam family: Bacterial small subunit ribosomal RNA
Source: RNAcentral
ACGAACGCUGGCGGCGUGCUUAACACAUGCAAGUCGAACGGAAAGGCCCUGCUUUUGUGGGGUGCUCGAGUGGCGAACGGGUGAGUAACACGUGAGUAACCUGCCCUUGACUUUGGGAUAACUUCAGGAAACUGGGGCUAAUACCGGAUAGGAGCUCCUGCUGCAUGGUGGGGGUUGGAAAGUUUCGGCGGUUGGGGAUGGACUCGCGGCUUAUCAGCUUGUUGGUGGGGUAGUGGCUUACCCAGGCUUUGACGGGUAGCCGGCCUGAGAGGGUGACCGGCCACAUUGGGACUGAGAUACGGCCCAGACUCCUACGGGAGGCAGCAGUGGGGAAUAUUGCACAAUGGGCGGAAGCCUGAUGCAGCAACGCCGCGUGCGGGAUGACGGCCUUCGGGUUGUAAACCGCUUUCGCCUGUGACGAAGCGUGAGUGACGGUAAUGGGUAAAGAAGCACCGGCUAACUACGUG